RNAcentral lists this transfer RNA (73 nucleotides) under Paramuricea clavata. It matches the Rfam family "tRNA". From Rfam's summary of the family: Transfer RNA (tRNA) molecules are approximately 80 nucleotides in length. Lineage: Eukaryota; Metazoa; Cnidaria; Anthozoa; Malacalcyonacea; Plexauridae. The record is from Rfam by way of RNAcentral.
GACCGCGUAGCUCAGUUGGAAGAGCAUUGGGCUAGCAUUCCAAAGGUCGUAGGUUCGAAUCCCGCCGUGGCCA